UCAGUUGCUGUGUAAGCACUGGUUCGUUAAGGACUGAGUAGCUGAGCAAGCUUUACAAUAUCUCAGAUCGUAGAGUUAAGCUUGAGAGAGAUGUUCACGUUGUUUGAUUAAUGCUUGCUUCAUUUCUCUCUCAUCUGUCUGAUCUGUAUAUAUGUGAUGUUGAAAACUAUCCAUUGGAUCCAUCCGUUGUGGCAUUAAAUGCAUCUGAACUUUCUGUACUGUGAUGGAGACAUUUCUGCACAUCUUCUGAAUUCUGCAUUCUGGCCCACUGACACUGCAAGCUGUUUUCUCACCUACCACCUGAAAAGGUGUUUUGUCCCUCUUACCCAUGGUACUAUCCUUAGCUUCUUCACUACGCUUCUUUGUUGCAUACUAAGGAUAUUUCAUAUAUUUUGGGACUGAUGAGUAUUG
Molecule: long non-coding RNA, 411 nt
Filed under: Panax ginseng (ginseng)
Lineage: Eukaryota; Viridiplantae; Streptophyta; Magnoliopsida; Apiales; Araliaceae
Description: long non-coding RNA (PGIN_LNC018116)
Source: RNAcentral